This 808-nucleotide ribosomal RNA is filed under the name Enterococcus hirae. Its description in RNAcentral is "bacterial SSU rRNA". It matches the Rfam family "Bacterial small subunit ribosomal RNA", at positions 73 to 858 of the family's 1533-position model. Lineage: Bacteria; Bacillati; Bacillota; Bacilli; Lactobacillales; Enterococcaceae. The record is from RNAcentral.
CCGGAGCUUGCUCCACCGGAAAAAGAGGAGUGGCGAACGGGUGAGUAACACGUGGGUAACCUGCCCAUCAGAAGGGGAUAACACUUGGAAACAGGUGCUAAUACCGUAUAACAAUCGAAACCGCAUGGUUUUGAUUUGAAAGGCGCUUUCGGGUGUCGCUGAUGGAUGGACCCGCGGUGCAUUAGCUAGUUGGUGAGGUAACGGCUCACCAAGGCGACGAUGCAUAGCCGACCUGAGAGGGUGAUCGGCCACAUUGGGACUGAGACACGGCCCAAACUCCUACGGGAGGCAGCAGUAGGGAAUCUUCGGCAAUGGACGAAAGUCUGACCGAGCAACGCCGCGUGAGUGAAGAAGGUUUUCGGAUCGUAAAACUCUGUUGUUAGAGAAGAACAAGGAUGAGAGUAACUGUUCAUCCCUUGACGGUAUCUAACCAGAAAGCCACGGCUAACUACGUGCCAGCAGCCGCGGUAAUACGUAGGUGGCAAGCGUUGUCCGGAUUUAUUGGGCGUAAAGCGAGCGCAGGCGGUUUCUUAAGUCUGAUGUGAAAGCCCCCGGCUCAACCGGGGAGGGUCAUUGGAAACUGGGAGACUUGAGUGCAGAAGAGGAGAGUGGAAUUCCAUGUGUAGCGGUGAAAUGCGUAGAUAUAUGGAGGAACACCAGUGGCGAAGGCGGCUCUCUGGUCUGUAACUGACGCUGAGGCUCGAAAGCGUGGGGGAGCAAACAGGAUUAGAUACCCUGGUAGUCCACGCCGUAAACGAUGAGUGCUAAGUGUUGGAGGGUUUCCGCCCUUCAGUGCUGCAGCUAACGC